Molecule: ribosomal RNA, 1372 nt
Filed under: uncultured bacterium
Lineage: Bacteria
Description: bacterial SSU rRNA
Rfam family: Bacterial small subunit ribosomal RNA
Source: RNAcentral
GAUGAACGCUGGCGGCGUGCCUAAUACAUGCAAGUCGAGCGAACGGACGAGAAGCUUGCUUUUCUGAUGUUAGCGGCGGACGGGUGAGUAACACGUGGAUAACCUACCUAUAAGACUGGGAUAACUUCGGGAAACCGGAGCUAAUACCGGAUAAUAUUUUGAACCGCAUGGUUCAAAAGUGAAAGACGGUCUUGCUGUCACUUAUAGAUGGAUCCGCGCUGCAUUAGCUAGUUGGUAAGGUAACGGCUUACCAAGGCAACGAUGCAUAGCCGACCUGAGAGGGUGAUCGGCCACACUGGAACUGAGACACGGUCCAGACUCCUACGGGAGGCAGCAGUAGGGAAUCUUCCGCAAUGGGCGAAAGCCUGACGGAGCAACGCCGCGUGAGUGAUGAAGGUCUUCGGAUCGUAAAACUCUGUUAUUAGGGAAGAACAUAUGUGUAAGUAACUGUGCACAUCUUGACGGUACCUAAUCAGAAAGCCACGGCUAACUACGUGCCAGCAGCCGCGGUAAUACGUAGGUGGCAAGCGUUAUCCGGAAUUAUUGGGCGUAAAGCGCGCGUAGGCGGUUUUUUAAGUCUGAUGUGAAAGCCCACGGCUCAACCGUGGAGGGUCAUUGGAAACUGGAAAACUUGAGUGCAGAAGAGGAAAGUGGAAUUCCAUGUGUAGCGGUGAAAUGCGCAGAGAUGUGGAGGAACACCAGUGGCGAAGGCGACUUUCUGGUCUGUAACUGACGCUGAUGUGCGAAAGCGUGGGGAUCAAACAGGAUUAGAUACCCUGGUAGUCCACGCCGUAAACGAUGAGUGCUAAGUGUUAGGGGGUUUCCGCCCCUUAGUGCUGCAGCUAACGCAUUAAGCACCCCGCCUGGGGAGUACGACCGCAAGGUUGAAACUCAAAGGAAUUGACGGGGGCCCGCACAAGCGGUGGAGCAUGUGGUUUAAUUCGAAGCAACGCGAAGAACCUUACCAAAUCUUGACAUCCUUUGACAACUCUAGAGAUAGAGCCUUCCCCUUCGGGGGACAAAGUGACAGGUGGUGCAUGGUUGUCGUCAGCUCGUGUCGUGAGAUGUUGGGUUAAGUCCCGCAACGAGCGCAACCCUUAAGCUUAGUUGCCAUCAUUAAGUUGGGCACUCUAAGUUGACUGCCGGUGACAAACCGGAGGAAGGUGGGGAUGACGUCAAAUCAUCAUGCCCCUUAUGAUUUGGGCUACACACGUGCUACAAUGGACAAUACAAAGGGCAGCGAAACCGCGAGGUCAAGCAAAUCCCAUAAAGUUGUUCUCAGUUCGGAUUGUAGUCUGCAACUCGACUACAUGAAGCUGGAAUCGCUAGUAAUCGUAGAUCAGCAUGCUACGGUGAAUACGUUCCCGGGUCU